UUGGGCCACUAAUGGGCGUCUCCUCUGCCUGUCGAGAAGAUUUUCCCGGAUCAGGCUGAGUGGACUACCGUCUCCUUGCGAUCUGCGGGAGCCCUCCCUUCCUUAUCACCCCGUCAGGGUGACAUUUGGCCCCGAGAAGCCUCCAGGCAAGCAGAAAUCAGCUGAGUUUUGCAGAGCUCCACAAGUUUCAGCUGCCACGCUCCGCCGACAAACCGGGGAAAUGAUAGAUUUUUUAAUUCCAGGAGUAUUAUCUAUUCAGUUAGGUUUAACUCAAAAAGAAAUCUGUUCAGACAAUUGCCCCUCUCAUUGCUGCAGAACCUCACAACCUCAGCUCGGUCCCAAACUGCUUUAUUUAGGCAGAAUCAACAUUUGAAGUGAACCUGGGAUCAGCCUCCAGGCUUUGGGAAGAGCUGCAAGCAAAGCAAGGGAAAAUGUAUGUGUGUAUAUUCGUUUUAGCUCUAAUUGCGUGGAAAAUACUGAUCUUCUUUAAACAUGUAGCAAGGUAUUUAAGGCAUUUUUUUUGACCCGGGGAGGCCCACGAUCUCCGCCUGGCUUCUCCCGGAUGCCGAUUGCACUGCCCGCUCUCCGGGGCAGGUGCAGCUCCGGGCAGAGGCUGCCCUGCAAAGCCUCCAACGCUGUCUCCGCGGCUGCGAUUUCACCUGCAGGGGGCGCUCUCUUUGCAGUCGGCUGACUAGGCCAGUGCGCAUGUUCCACUCUGCCUGAGAGUUUCGGCUGAGAGUUGCUCCCUGGGAAUCAGGUGGGGGCCAGCAAGAGGGGAUUCCGCGACUCAGAUCCUCCCCAGGAGAGGGAAGGAGAAAUCCAGAUUCCUGGAAGACUGGAAGGAUCUUAGGAGAGCCAGCGGAGACCAGUUGCCCGGCGGUGGUGCCAAUGGCUGGAAGAUCCCUUCUGAGCCUGGCAGAGAA
Long non-coding RNA from Thamnophis elegans (Western terrestrial garter snake), 923 nucleotides. RefSeq lists it as uncharacterized. Lineage: Eukaryota; Metazoa; Chordata; Lepidosauria; Squamata; Natricidae. The record is from RefSeq and is a predicted model, not a curated record. The transcript has 2 exons.